This 398-nucleotide ribosomal RNA is filed under the name uncultured bacterium. RNAcentral describes it as "bacterial SSU rRNA". It matches the Rfam family "Bacterial small subunit ribosomal RNA", at positions 29 to 421 of the family's 1533-position model. The record is from RNAcentral.
AUUGAACGCUGGCGGCAGGCCUAACACAUGCAAGUCGAACGGCAGCGGGGGGAAGCUUGCUUCCCCGCCGGCGAGUGGCGGACGGGUGAGUAAUGCCUGGGGAGCUGCCCAAUCGAGGGGGAUACCAGUUGGAAACGACUGCUAAUACCGCAUACGCCCUGAGGGGGAAAGGUGGGGAUCUUCGGACCUAUCGCGAUUGGAUGCACCCAGGUGGGAUUAGCUAGUUGGUGAGGUAACGGCUCACCAAGGCGACGAUCUCUAGCUGGUCUGAGAGGAUGACCAGCCACACUGGAACUGAGACACGGUCCAGACUCCUACGGGAGGCAGCAGUGGGGAAUAUUGCACAAUGGGGGAAACCCGUGAUGCAGCCAUGCCGCGUGUGUGAAGAAGGCCUGUGU